UCCCUUAAGAACAGCCACCCAGGCUAGGAUUAGCAUGAAGGGCUGCUAGGCUGGCACUUCAGUGUCUGGGUUAAAAAUAUUUUAAAGCAGUAAAUGCAGUCAGAACAGAGAGAGAGAUCCCUGGGAGCCUUCCUGUUCAAAAAUGUGCGAGCUCAGGGCAGCAACUGCAAUGUAAUUUAGGACAGUAUAUGCUUCAUAGCUUUAGAGAAUAUUGCCUCUUGUUAAUGUUACAUUGGAGGACAGUGGGAUAGUGGUAAUUUUAGAGAGGCGGUGUUCCUGUUUGUUUUACAUCGAAAACUUCCGAAUAAAUAAAAAGAAGCAUGAAUUGAGGAAGAAAUGUAACUGCUGAAACCCAGCAAUGACUCCACUCUGAGCAGACUGUAGAAACAACAGGGGAAGGUGGGCAUACAAACGUUGUCGUGGGAAUGUGGCUUGGAAGGGAACUUAGCAGACAAAGGCGAAAUCAGGUAUGUACUUCAAAUGGCAUGUGGGCAAACUUUUGUCUGUGAGCCCAGUGAGGAGCCUGCUCACAUGAAAUUACAAAAUGUUUGGGGGGAUCGAAUGACAAAAAAGCUUGUAUUGCUUUUCCAUUGCUGAAGAAAUGGGGCUGUCUAUAAGCAGAAGUGAUUCAAAUAGCUCUUUUCAAAGAAGUGCUCUGGAGAGCGAGGGAGAUUUUUCAUUUCCAUUCCUUUACCAAGAUUAUUUCCUUCUUUUCCUCUUCACGUCUCACAGAGUUCCCUUUAAAUCUGCAAGUGAAAAGGAUGGUCUGAGCUACCUAGGGAGGCUCGAAUCUGAAUUCUGUUUGUGUCAGGCUCUGUGAGCUUGGUGAUCUCUGUUUAUCUCUUAGGAAAUAGUUGUGCUUGCACAACACUGCAAAUGCAAUGUGCAGAUGUCAGGACAGCUAAAACAAAGAAGGCCGUCUAGGAAAAGCAACGCCAGACCUGAUGGCAGAGUGGAGAAGCAGCGGAGAGGACUUGUGCCUUCUUUUCUUCCUUGUGCCUCUGCGUGGCCGUAGGACAAGUAGAGGCUGAAUUGCGUCUGUCCCAGAGGAACCAUGAAUUAAGUCUCUGCAAUCAGUGACAGUUCUGACUUCGGAAACGGGCACGAGCUGGUUUUUCCAAGCGAUCGAGUUACCACAGUUUAAGAGAUUUUCAAAAGCAAUUGCAACAGCCUGAGAGCAUCCACACAGGAAGUUACAGCUCAGCUGGCGCAUGGCAAACCGUGAAGCUGCGGUAAGUCUGUCUUACCAUCAUGUCUGCGAAUGCUUUGUAGACGCGUUUAUCCUGAGUGCAUUAACAUUCAUUUUCUGUAACGUUGGGUUUAGGCAUAGCGCAACUGAGUGACGAAGGCAAAGAUAGUCUAAAAGACUAUUCCCAAGAACUAAGUAACAAUAAAUCAGAGCUUGGAUGCUUUUAUAUUCUCUUUAUUUAUUUAUUUUUUUUGCCAAAUACUACUUAGACUAUAAUAACACCUAAGUAUGAAGUUCAGCUGUUACAUAGUGCUUUUUACUCACAGAUUUCAGAGUACUUUAUCAAAGAGGUAACUUACGAUUAUUGCUAUUUUUUGGGUGGAGACGUGACAUCAGAAGAUGUUGAGAUCACUCACCCAAACAAAGAUCAAGCUGGAAUAAUGUAUGUGUAUGCUUUUAUUCUGGGUCCAGUAUGUUGCCCCCUGAAUCUUAGUAUCGUUUUUAUAAACGUGAAAUUUUGAAGAGUUCUUAGUAGAGGGUUGAGGAUUUGCUGGUUGUUCGGAGGAUCAGAGCUGAACUUAAGGGUCUCCAAGAGUCACAGUCCAAGUGUAGAUUCACAGGAGGGAUAGGCCAGUCGCCUUGUCCGAUCUCCCAUAUUCCUUCUCCUUCAUCAGGAAACAUGCCUGUGGGAGCAUAUGCCACUUUUCACCUUUUUUCUUGGCUCUGCUUUUGGCCUGAGAAAAAACGGUGGAGGUAGAAACUCUACUUAUGCCCAUUCCCAGUUCCUGACCUCGUCUGGAUUACUUAGAAAUUUCUGCACAAAAUUCUAUCUCGCUCUUUGUGGAAACCAAGCAAGGCCCUAAGAGAAACUUACAUUAUAUAAGGAAAUAUCUUCUGUGCUUUUGAGUGUCUUGUUUUUAUAUUUGGGACAAGGUUUGGAAUGAUUUUUAUUUUCUGCAUAGAAUCAGUUAUUCUUCCACAUGUUGUGGAAGACACCUAUUUAAAGACUGGGAGAAAUUACCCCACUGGCUUCAUGAAGCAGCCCUUCUUAUAAAAGGGGUGGAAUUAUUUCUGGAGAGCUGUCAUAAAGAAAUCACAGCUUUAAUGCAUGAUUUAUGUAACUCAGAGAAGGCGCCGUAAGUAGUCAGGUGCAAGGUGAGGUCAGUGGUAGGAGAAAGAGUUUACAAAGCCUGUUCUAUGCUCUUCAAUGCCUGUGCAUUUACAGUAGCUUUUGUUUCCUGGUGCCUUUGUUUUUUAGAGUAUGAUCAUUUCCAUACACGCUACUGAAAAAAAAAAAUACAAAAGGUUUCAAUAUACAGUAGUUAAUUACUAUAUUACAAGCUCUAAUUAAAUUCUUGGAGAUUCUGCACAGUAUGAUGUUCAUGCCAAGAGGGACAUAUCCUGUCCUUAAGUGAAUACAUGUUCUUGUCAAGUUAACUUAUCUGCAUUUUACUCACAUGAAAUAUUCCUCAUCUCUUGCUUCUUGACACACGUGACUGAUAAAUGUUUUAAAGGCACAUUUAACAUUGAUAUUUUUGUCAUAGGAAAUGACAAUGACUUCAGUAAUUCCCAGGCUUUAUUUUAUACAAAGUGACACACCAUGUGAUGGCAGACUCCCCAGACCUUAAUGUAAGCCACACGCUGUGUUUUCCAGCUAUGCACAUCUCUCCUUUAUCAUUGGACUUGUGAUGGCUCAGUGAUUAUACAGUACUUCAAAAAUCGGAACUUGGCCAAAUUACUUCUCCUUCAUGCCAUUUAGACAGAAGGCUUUCAUAAAAAUUAAACAGUAAGUAACUCAUGUGAAAUUGCACCUUGCACUUACUGCUUUUAGUGGCGCUGGGGUGAGCGAUACUCUGAAAGUCAGUAUUCGGAAUGUGUCUGAAUGAAUGGCUACCACCAACUUCUCUCGUAGUGUCCCUGCAUGCCUGAGGUAGGUUGGAAGAAGGAUUCCUUCCACAAGCAGAGUUUUGCAUGCUCUCCUCUUCUGCCUGGCCUCCCCCAGCGGCUGAGAAGUGCACUGGCUGCCAAGCCCCGGGCUUGCAGCACUGAAUGACGUUGUACAGGCUCCAAUCAAGUACCCAGGGGUAGCAGCAUUCUGUUGCUUUCAACCUCUCUUGGAUUUGAAGCGGGGAUACUGAAGACUUGCCAGUAAGAAGCUCCGUAGACUCACCUUGUGUAUGCUGAGAUAGAUGAAACUGGCAAGGGUAGCUGCUGUUUCCCCUCUCUUAACAGUUUAUGACAUCCUUUUGAAGCAUAACAUGUGGUGCUGUGCUCUUCUGCAGGAGCCAGUCCUAUCUCCUUCCCCCACUUCCUUUCUGCUGUUGUUCUGGUAACUGACCACUUAUCGCACUUAUGAUCUUUGUAAUUGAAACUGAGAAAGCCUGUGGCAGUUCUGCCUAGACAUGCUACAAUCACACUUCUGAUGGCAAAGUACACAUCCCUUAGGAG
RNAcentral lists this long non-coding RNA (3637 nucleotides) under Gallus gallus (chicken). RNAcentral describes it as "lncRNA (ENSGALG00010015093.1)". Lineage: Eukaryota; Metazoa; Chordata; Aves; Galliformes; Phasianidae. The record is from RNAcentral.